Molecule: long non-coding RNA, 1933 nt
Organism: Sapajus apella (tufted capuchin)
Lineage: Eukaryota; Metazoa; Chordata; Mammalia; Primates; Cebidae
Exons: 2
Source: RefSeq, a predicted model, not a curated record
AAGACGGGGUCUCACUUUGUUGACCAGGCUGGUCUCGAACUCCUGGCCUCAAGUGAACCUCCCAUCGCAACCUCCCAAAUUGUUAGCAUUACAGGUGUGAGCCACUGUACCCCGCCUGGUUGUGUACUCUUUCAAAAAUUAAGUUUUUAGUGUUAAAUGAUGCUUCUAGAUACAUUGUAAAAAUUCAUGUAUCAGAGUUUUUAAUUAAAAACAUUGCAAUUGUACUAGAUUUUAAAGUAAAUACUAAUCAAUAAUUCAGGCUUUGAUGUUGGUUUAUAGUUUUCUCACUUCUUUCAUUUAAUAGCUCUGUAAAUGAAGUAGUUACUUCCAUUUUCCUGAGGUGUAGGACUGUGGCCCAGAUAAGAUACCUGCACAAUGUUAUAGGUCCAAUAAGUGAGACUGGGGCUAUUAUCUAGUCCCUUUGACAUUAAAGCUUGUGUAGUAAACCAUCUAUGUCAGUUUGCCACAUUUGUAAUAGCGUUCAAUAAUUUUUCACUUAAAGGUUGGUUUAAUAUUAAAGUAGUAGCAAGAAUUCAUAACCUUAAUUGGCUUUAACAGCUUUUCUUCCCCUGAACACAGAUGCGUAUGUACACAUGCACACAGCAUACAGUAACAGCACAUAACAGGCCUUUGCAUGUUGAGGUCAGCACUGUUAUGGUGCCUUUUUUUUGUGGGGGGGGGCUCUGGUUUUUUGACUGCAAGUCUUUUUAGUUAGAAAGUAGCUUUCUAACACUUGGAUGGGUUUUACAGGCACAAAAAAACACAAAAGUAUUAUACUAGCUCUACUUUAUUUUUGAGUUCUUAUUAAUGGGGAACAUCUACUUUUGCAUUGACAGUGGUUUCAAGAUUGCUUUAUCAGCCUUUAAAGGAUUCUUAACUAGGUGUGCACUUCAGAACUGCCAGGCCCCCAGUGGUUCUGAAGCAGUAAGCUUUGGGUGGGCCCUGGCAUCAGCCCUUUUACUGAGCUUCACAGAUUAUUCUGAUGCAUACUCCAGGCCUGAACCGCUGAUCCCAUUUGAAACAUGCAUCCUAACAAAGCAAAAAAGUUUUGUUUCACCUUUUGAAAUAGUUAAUUCUUACCAUGCUGGAGAUUAUUCGUUCAGAGAGACAGGUGCUUGCUCCAGAGUGGUGAUAUCUGGCAGUACCCAACCCUUGUGUGUGCAGUAGCUCAGCACCUGCCAUAUUGGGAGCCCUGGUAGGAUGUGUCUUGUCCUUCCCUGUUUCAGCUCUUAACACAAUUGCUGGUACAGAGUAUGUAGCGUGCAUUUGUUGAAUGAAUGCUUUUCCCCGUAGCAGUGUAUUCAUACAAUAUUCAUAUAAUUGUCCCCUGGUUUACAGAUGAAAGUGAAAGCACUAAGUGCCCAAUGGUGAGACCUAGGAGUUCUUCUUCCACCCCUAGUGGUUCCCUGGGCAAUUUUUUCUAACACUCACCUGCAGUCUGUUCUGCAGUCCAUCAUUGAUUGACUUGUCUGUGUACUUGAGAGCAGGAACUGUUUGAUAGUUUCAUUAGUACAGAGUAAACAUUUGCCGUGCAAGGUUAUUUUACAUGUUUAUUUAAGUGAUAAAUGUUGAGUCAAUGAAAAUGAAGUUUUGAUUAAGCAAUAGUUGAAGAUGUGCUAGGUUUUUCAAAUUACUAAUAUCAAGCAGAGAUUGUUUUUACUUGUAAAGGUAUUGCUUUUGUGAUAGCAUAAAUAAUGGUUUUCCUUUUUUGUAAUGUAAAUUAAUUACUGGCAAUUUUGUAUUCCCAUAGACUGGGGAAGAUUAAUUGCCUUUAUAAGUAUGCUUGAGCCACCGCGCCCGGCCUGUAUCACAUUUUCUGUAUAAUAGCUUAUGCUUUAUUACUAUAUAUAUACUAAUAAUUUUACCUGACUUGUUUAUAUCAUUUGUACAAUUACCUGGUUGUAAUAUAAACUUGGUUGCUGUUAGCCACCCA